Molecule: ribosomal RNA, 502 nt
Filed under: uncultured bacterium
Lineage: Bacteria
Description: bacterial SSU rRNA
Rfam family: Bacterial small subunit ribosomal RNA
Source: RNAcentral
UCGAACGCGAAAGUGGAGCAAUCCAUGAGUAGAGUGGCAAACGGGUGAGUAACGCGUGGGCGACCUACCUUCGAGUGGGGGAUAACCUUCCGAAAGGAGGGCUAAUACCGCAUGACAUUCCGUGUUUGGAUACACGGGUAUCAAAGCCGGGGAUCGCAAGACCUGGCGCCUGAAGAGGGGCCCGCGUCCGAUUAGCUAGUUGGUGAGGUGACGGCUCACCAAGGCAACGAUCGGUAUCCGGCCUGAGAGGGCGGACGGACACACUGGGACUGAGACACGGCCCAGACUCCUACGGGAGGCAGCAGUGGGGAAUUGUUCGCAAUGGGCGCAAGCCUGACGACGCAACGCCGCGUGGAGGAUGAAGACUUUCGGGUCGUAAACUCCUUUCGACCAGGAUGAAUUCCUGCCGACCUAACACGUCGGCGGGGUGACAGUACUGGGAGAAGAAGCCCCGGCUAACUCCGUGCCAGCAGCCGCGGUAAUACGGGGGGGGCAAGCGUUG